GCCCGAGUAGCUCAGGGGUAGAGCACCUCCUUGGUAAGGAGGGGGUCACGAGUUCAAAUCUCGUCUCGGGCUCCA
Molecule: transfer RNA, 75 nt
Filed under: Acidobacteriota bacterium
Lineage: Bacteria; Pseudomonadati; Acidobacteriota
Also listed under: 1 other name
Description: Acidobacteria bacterium tRNA-Thr
Rfam family: tRNA
About the family: Transfer RNA (tRNA) molecules are approximately 80 nucleotides in length. Their secondary structure includes four short double-helical elements and three loops (D, anti-codon, and T loops). Further hydrogen bonds mediate the characteristic L-shaped molecular structure. tRNAs have two regions of fundamental functional importance: the anti-codon, which is responsible for specific mRNA codon recognition, and the 3' end, to which the tRNAs corresponding amino acid is attached (by aminoacyl-tRNA synthetases). tRNAs cope with the degeneracy of the genetic code in two manners: having more than one tRNA (with a specific anti-codon) for a particular amino acid; and 'wobble' base-pairing, i.e. permitting non-standard base-pairing at the 3rd anti-codon position.
Source: RNAcentral